UCUUUCUACCUCAGAUGGUUCUUUUGUUUUAAAACUAGUAGUGAAUAUACAGAAAUUAUAUUUUUGCUACAAUGUCAGCUCCCGCUCCCACGUCGCCGCCGUCGACGAACUCAACGGCUCCACCUCCGGCCACCCCUGCCGCCCCUCCACCAGCCACUCCCUCUGCACCACCUCCUGCUACUCCUGCAGCACCUCCACCAGCAACCCCAUCACCUCCACCACCAGCUGCUACUUCACCAGCUCCAGCCGCAUCAUCCUCUCCGCCGCCGCCUUCUACUCCUUCACCUUCUCCACCUGCUCCUCCUCCUCCAUCGGCCACCUCUCCUCCGCCUUCAACC
RNAcentral lists this long non-coding RNA (338 nucleotides) under Jatropha curcas. RNAcentral's name for it is "long non-coding RNA (JCUR_LNC001843)". The record is from RNAcentral. Lineage: Eukaryota; Viridiplantae; Streptophyta; Magnoliopsida; Malpighiales; Euphorbiaceae.